This 496-nucleotide ribosomal RNA is filed under the name uncultured bacterium. Its description in RNAcentral is "partial 16S ribosomal RNA". It matches the Rfam family "Bacterial small subunit ribosomal RNA", at positions 28 to 507 of the family's 1533-position model. The record is from RNAcentral.
GAUGAACGCUGGCGGCGUGCCUAAUACAUGCAAGUCGAGCGAACAGAUGAGGAGCUUGCUCCUCUGACGUUAGCGGCGGACGGGUGAGUAACACGUGGAUAACCUACCUAUAAGACUGGGAUAACUUCGGGAAACCGGAGCUAAUACCGGAUAAUAUAUUGAACCGCAUGGUUCAAUAGUGAAAGACGGUUUUGCUGUCACUUAUAGAUGGAUCCGCGCCGCAUUAGCUAGUUGGUAAGGUAACGGCUUACCAAGGCAACGAUGCGUAGCCGACCUGAGAGGGUGAUCGGCCACACUGGAACUGAGACACGGUCCAGACUCCUACGGGAGGCAGCAGUAGGGAAUCUUCCGCAAUGGGCGAAAGCCUGACGGAGCAACGCCGCGUGAGUGAUGAAGGUCUUCGGAUCGUAAAACUCUGUUUUAGGGAAGAACAAAUGUGUAAGUAACUAUGCACGUCUUGACGGUACCUAAUCAGAAAGCCACGGCUAACUACGUG